GGGUGUGUAGCCACACCACAGCUGCAUCUGAGGGCAUUUCGGAAUAAGCACAGAUGUCUUUAGGGUGGCAGUGGAGUUCUGAGCCCAUGAAAUGCUGAUAAAGCAUUUUAAGCGACCAUCUCGUUGCUGGGCCGCCAGCACCCAAGCAGUCAGUGGUAUCCAAUACUUGUUAAAAUGAUUUUAUCGCUGUAGCCUCCUGUUCUGCAUUUUCAACUAAACAUCACUGAAAGCAAAGUAUUCCAACGCAAGUCAGUCACUGAAGGAAAGAAGAGGAAGGCGCUGGGAAGUCACACCAUCGUUUCCUAUAAAUUUUCUGGAAGAGAGAAAAUGCUUUGCUUUCUUAAUAGCUGGUUCAGGCACAUGAGGCCUACCGACUCAUCUUCUGAUUCAGUGUCAGACAUUUAUAGCAGCAAGGCCGAGUUCCUGAGCCACUUAAGGAGGCCUGCUGGAUCUAUGCAACGAGACAGCCAAAAGCAGAGCUGAAGUGUCUCUAUGAAUCUGCUAGUUCAUACUUUCUUGGAGUGCGGGCAGGGAACAUGGUGUUUGUUUUAAAACCUUAAGCUGAAUGGUGCUUAAUUCCAGAACUCUGUCAUAGAUGAGCCUGUAACUGCCACAUGCCACAGUAAUUACAGCGGCUAAAACAAAGGCUGUGAUCCCAAAUUACAAUCCGUUCGACGUUCCCGACCGCAUGCCAUCUCCUCACCGUCACCCAGCCCUGAGAAAAGUCUAGCUUUGUACCACAGGGUGACUAACCAACAAACUGGGACAAAAAAAUGGAUGAUAAAUAUGGGAAUCAGACGCAGAGCCAUGACAAAAACACUGCACAUGAAAGAGCCAUGAAAUAUUUUGCAACACAGUGAAUGGGACUGGAAAACAGAAAUUGUGAAGUCUUGUGCAUUACAUACCACAUAAGCUCAUUAAAUAUUUCUUUAAUGAGUCAA
Long non-coding RNA from Mustela lutreola (European mink), 941 nucleotides. RefSeq lists it as uncharacterized. NCBI's taxonomy places the organism in Eukaryota, Metazoa, Chordata, Mammalia, Carnivora, Mustelidae. The transcript has 4 exons. The record is from RefSeq and is a predicted model, not a curated record.